UGGGGAAUAUUGGACAAUGGGCGAAAGCCUGAUCCAGCCAUGCCGCGUGUGUGAAGAAGGUCUUCGGAUUGUAAAGCACUUUAAGUUGGGAGGAAGGGCAGUAAGCGAAUACCUUGCCGUUUUGACGUUACCGACAGAAUAAGCACCGGCUAACUCUGUGCCAGCAGCCGCGGUAAUACAGAGGGUGCAAGCGUUAAUCGGAAUUACUGGGCGUAAAGCGCGCGUAGGUGGUUCGUUAAGUUGAAUGUGAAAGCCCCGGGCUCAACCUGGGAACUGCAUCCAAAACUGGCGGGCUAGAGUAGGGCAGAGGGUGGUGGAAUUUCCUGUGUAGCGGUGAAAUGCGUAGAUAUAGGAAGGAACACCAGUGGCGAAGGCGACCACCUGGGCUCAUACUGACACUGAGGUGCGAAAGCGUGGGGAGCAAACAGG
RNAcentral lists this ribosomal RNA (429 nucleotides) under Pseudomonadota bacterium. Its description in RNAcentral is "Proteobacteria bacterium partial 16S ribosomal RNA". It matches the Rfam family "Bacterial small subunit ribosomal RNA", at positions 355 to 776 of the family's 1533-position model. The record is from RNAcentral. Lineage: Bacteria; Pseudomonadati; Pseudomonadota.